AUGGUUCCCUGCUGGUUCUUGGUGGCCAUGCUGGCCCCUACGGCAUGGGCCAUUCAGCAAUCCCCAGACGCAGUUGUCCGAGCGGGAGACUCUCUGACUCUGAACUGUUCCCAAGAGAGGACUUCAUACCCCAACAUGUACUGGUACAAGCUGCCUGUGGAGAAUGAUGCGAGGCUGCAGCUUGUUAUACACUCAGUGGAAGGUGGCAAGGCAGAUAUUGAUGGGGAAUUCAGAAACCACUUCCAGAGCAGUGGAACUAAAGGCAGCCGCUUAUCUAUGGAGAUAGAUCAUGCCCUAGUCAAUGACUCAGGCACAUAUUUCUGCGCUAAGCAAGAUGGUGUAAAUUCACCACUGAGCUUUGGACAGGGCACCCGGCUGACAGUACUAGGGGAGAAUGAUGAAAUCAUACCACCAGCUGUGGCCAUUUUUUCCCCAUCAAAGCAAGAGAUCCAACAGAAGAGCAAGGCCACACUAGUAUGCCUUGCCUCUGGUUUCUAUCCUGACUACCUCAAUCUAGUCUGGAAGGUGAAUGGUGCUCAGAGAACAGAAGGGGUGGGGACAGAUGAGUCUUCCACGUGGAAUGGGAGUACAUACUCAUUGACCAGCCGACUGAGGAUCUCAGCCCAGGAAUGGUUCAACCCUUUGAAUCGUUUUGAGUGUGUUGCAACAUUCUUUAACAAUGAGACACUGGAAUCCAUACACAAAUUCAUCUCUGGCGAUGUGGGUUGUAUUAUACACAAAGAAAACUAUCAGAGAAGUGUUAUAGCUGGGAAGAUUGUGUACAUCAUGCUCAUUUUCAAGAGCAUUUUGUAUGGAAUGUUUGUGAUUGGGCUGAUACUCAGGUCCAAGAAAAUGUACUAGACACGCUUUGCCCUGAAAGAUCAGGCCUGAAGAAGAGGACAGAGAUAUGCUGCAAGUGGAAAGCUUCAAAUCUUUGAACACAAGUCCUGACUUGCUUCAGAAACCAGCCUUUUUUUCUGACCAAUGUGGGAAACCACAUUUGCUUGUUUUUAAAAUUACUUCUUAAUAAAAUU
Molecule: non-coding RNA, 1034 nt
Organism: Rhea pennata
Lineage: Eukaryota; Metazoa; Chordata; Aves; Rheiformes; Rheidae
Source: the annotation of a RefSeq genome assembly